UUUCAACGUGGGGUAAUAGAGCAUCAACACAACAGCCAAAUAAAACCAGAGGGAGGGAUAAGUCUCUCUUCACUUUCUAUUUGACAAGCUCCUCUUUUGUUGGGAGUUCAUUCUUCUGUGAGGUCUGCACAACUGCUAGAGACAUGAAGUCUGCACUGCUGAUCAUUCUGCUCUUCAGCACCUACAUGUUCAUAAGUACGGCACAAGGCUCUUACGGUAACUGCUGUCUGGGUCACGUUUCAAAAGAAAUCAGACCAACAGCAAGGAGAAACAUCCAGAGCUACAGGCGGCAGGAGAGCGAUGGCGAUUGCAACAUCGAGGCUAUCGUAUUCUUCAUGAAGAAGAAGCCGUCGCACAAGAAACAGAGAACCGUCUGUACAAAUCCAGAAGACCAAUGGGUGCAGGAUCUAAUCAGACAUCAUGAUAGAAAUAAGGGCAUUUAGAAAACAGAAGGAAGGAAGAUAAGCGUUGGAGAAAGAAGAUAUUGGGACUAAGAAGAGCUCUGGGUCGUGUACCUCUAAGUAACCCUGUGUUCUGUUUUUGUGUACAUAUAUUCAAUAGAAUAUAACGGGUAAAUGUACUCUAAUAUAAAUACAACAUCACUGGAACUAAAUCUAUAAUCUCAGAGAUGUAUGAGCCACUGUUCGGCAGCUUGACAUGUAGCUUAUUGCUUGUUCGUCCAGAGAGUGAGACAAAGAAACAGAUAAAAAGAGGGAGUGAGAGACAUAAAGAGAGAGUAAAAGAGAGAGUAAAAGAAGCAGCAACAAAGAGAGAGGAGAGAGUGAAAGAAAAAUAGAGAAGAAGCAGAGAGAAUAUAUAUAAUAUCCAUAUGAAUUGUCCAAGAUGAGUAAGUAAUGUUUCAUAUGUUUUUGUAUGAUCAUGUACACAAAUUAACAUGUCUAUAUCAAAUAAACAAAUAAAGCACCAAUA
RNA transcript from Gadus morhua (Atlantic cod), 930 nucleotides. It is a transcript of the gene named chemokine (C-C motif) ligand 25b, with no coding region annotated. Lineage: Eukaryota; Metazoa; Chordata; Actinopteri; Gadiformes; Gadidae. The record is from RefSeq and is a predicted model, not a curated record. The transcript has 4 exons.